RNAcentral lists this ribosomal RNA (303 nucleotides) under uncultured bacterium. RNAcentral's name for it is "partial 16S ribosomal RNA". It matches the Rfam family "Bacterial small subunit ribosomal RNA", at positions 507 to 809 of the family's 1533-position model. The record is from RNAcentral.
AGCAGUAGCCGCGGGAAUACGUAGGUGGCAAGCGUUGUCCGGAAUUAUUGGGCGUAAAGCGCGCGCAGGCGGAUCUGUCAGUCUGUCUUAAAAGUUCGGGGCUUAACCCCGUGAUGGGAUGGAAACUGCUGAUCUAGAGUAUCGGAGAGGAAAGUGGAAUUCCUAGUGUAGCGGUGAAAUGCGUAGAUAUUAGGAAGAACACCAGUGGCGAAGGCGACUUUCUGGACGAAAACUGACGCUGAGGCGCGAAAGCCAGGGGAGCGAACGGGAUUAGAGACCCCUGUAGUCCCUGUCUCUUAUACA